AGGAAGCAGUGGCGAAUGCAGCAGCUGUUUGUCCAUUCAAUUUGGAAGCAUAUGCUAAUUGAAUCAAAGGAAGGUCAGCAUCACGCCCUGCUCCGCGUGCUGCUCCAGUGAGAAACCCACCACAGCCAGAGCGCCAGGCUCCUCCUCCAGUUCCUGC
This is a long non-coding RNA of Panicum hallii, 157 nucleotides long. RefSeq lists it as uncharacterized. NCBI's taxonomy places the organism in Eukaryota, Viridiplantae, Streptophyta, Magnoliopsida, Poales, Poaceae. The record is from RefSeq and is a predicted model, not a curated record. The transcript is spliced from 3 exons.